RNAcentral lists this ribosomal RNA (628 nucleotides) under uncultured Bacilli bacterium. RNAcentral describes it as "bacterial SSU rRNA". It matches the Rfam family "Bacterial small subunit ribosomal RNA", at positions 138 to 754 of the family's 1533-position model. The record is from RNAcentral. Lineage: Bacteria; Bacillati; Bacillota; Bacilli.
GGGGGAUAACUAUUGGAAACGAUAGCUAAUACCGCAUAAUAUUGAUUAUUGCAUGAUAAUUGAUUGAAAGGUGCAAUUGCACCACUACCAGAUGGACCUGCGUUGUAUUAGCUAGUAGGUGAGGUAACGGCUCACCUAGGCGACGAUACAUAGCCGACCUGAGAGGGUGAUCGGCCACACUGGGACUGAGACACGGCCCAGACUCCUACGGGAGGCAGCAGUAGGGAAUCUUCGGCAAUGGACGAAAGUCUGACCGAGCAACGCCGCGUGAGUGAAGAAGGUUUUCGGAUCGUAAAGCUCUGUUGUAAGAGAAGAACGGGUGUGAGAGUGGAAAGUUCACACUGUGACGGUAUCUUACCAGAAAGGGACGGCUAACUACGUGCCAGCAGCCGCGGUAAUACGUAGGUCCCGAGCGUUGUCCGGAUUUAUUGGGCGUAAAGCGAGCGCAGGCGGUUAGAUAAGUCUGAAGUUAAAGGCUGUGGCUUAACCAUAGUACGCUUUGGAAACUGUUUAACUUGAGUGCAGAAGGGGAGAGUGGAAUUCCAUGUGUAGCGGUGAAAUGCGUAGAUAUAUGGAGGAACACCGGUGGCGAAAGCGGCUCUCUGGUCUGUAACUGACGCUGAGGCUC